RNAcentral lists this ribosomal RNA (254 nucleotides) under uncultured bacterium. Its description in RNAcentral is "partial 16S ribosomal RNA". It matches the Rfam family "Bacterial small subunit ribosomal RNA", at positions 524 to 777 of the family's 1533-position model. The record is from RNAcentral.
UACGAGAGGCCCAAACGUUAUUCGGAAUUACUGGGCUUAAAGAGUUCGUAGGCGGCGCAGAAAGUAGGGUGUGAAAGCCCUCGGCUCAACCGAGGAAUUGCGCUCUAAACUACUGUGCUUGAGGAAGCUAGAGGUGAGCGGAACUGAUGGUGGAGCGGUGAAAUGCGUUGAUAUCAUCAGGAACACCGGAGGCGAAGGCGGCUCACUGGGGCUUUUCUGACGCUGAGGAACGAAAGCGUGGGGAGCAAACAGGG